CCUCUUGCGCCUGCGCCCACCAGCCCCUACAUUCAGAGUGUCCCGCAAGGGACUAUGGACAUAAACGCGCUCGUAAUAAGCGGAUCGGACCCGGGGGCGGUACCCGGCGGCUCCACCAAAAUCCUUCGUUUGGGGAUCAUGGGGCCGAAACAGGAUCGACGAACGUCUAAAGGGGUUAGCUUUGUCCCGGUGAGCCACCACCGUUAUCGGUGCAAAACGUACAGUUGCAAAUGACAACCGUGCUCCGGUCGCAGUCGCAGCGUAAGCUGUCACGAGACCGAAACUUUAAGCCCUUGCGCCUAGCCGCGUAAGGCGGGGUUCGCAGGCACCUGGCAACAGAAGCCUGCACU
This 350-nucleotide transfer-messenger RNA is filed under the name Paracoccaceae bacterium. RNAcentral's name for it is "Rhodobacteraceae bacterium transfer-messenger RNA". It matches the Rfam family "Alphaproteobacteria transfer-messenger RNA". From Rfam's summary of the family: Bacterial tmRNA, also known as 10Sa RNA or SsrA, is named for its dual tRNA and mRNA-like properties. Lineage: Bacteria; Pseudomonadati; Pseudomonadota; Alphaproteobacteria; Rhodobacterales; Paracoccaceae. The record is from RNAcentral.